RNAcentral lists this ribosomal RNA (456 nucleotides) under uncultured eukaryote. RNAcentral describes it as "bacterial SSU rRNA". It matches the Rfam family "Eukaryotic small subunit ribosomal RNA", at positions 16 to 451 of the family's 1831-position model. The record is from RNAcentral.
GACGGUAGUCGUAUGCUCGUCUCCGAGACUAAGCCAUGCAAGUCCAAGUACACGUCCUUGAACGACGGAAACUGCGAACGGCUCAUUAAAUCAGUUGCGAUCUACUCGGCGUUCCGCGCCGCCGGAUAACCGUAGUAAUUCUAGGGCUAAUACGUGCGAAGCGCCCGAAGCCGCGAGGCGACGGGCGUUCUCGCCGGAUGUAGGAACCGACCCGGGGACCGCCGGGGCAACCCGGCGCCCCCGAGACGGGGCGAACCACGGUGAAAUGACGGAUCGUCGGCCCCGCGCCGGCGACUCGCCGAAUGAGUUUCUGACCUAUCAACUCGAGACGGCGGGGUAGAGGCCCGCCGCGGUAACGACGGGUAACGGGGAAUCAGGGUUCGAUUCCGGAGAGGGAGCCCGAGAAACGGCUACCACUUCCAAGGAAGGCAGCAGGCGCGCAACUUACCCUAAUCU